AACUAUGGUGAGGGCACUGUCUCAAUAAGUCUUUGUAUCUCUCCCAUGCAUAAUAUAAAGUCUCGAAAUCGAUCUGAACAAACAAAUAGAUAUCAUUCCACAACUU
RNAcentral lists this small nucleolar RNA (106 nucleotides) under Gossypium barbadense (sea-island cotton). RNAcentral's name for it is "Plant small nucleolar RNA R71". It matches the Rfam family "Plant small nucleolar RNA R71". From Rfam's summary of the family: R71 is a member of the C/D box family of snoRNAs containing the C (UGAUGA) and D (CUGA) box motifs. Multiple nearly identical copies of this snoRNA have been identified in Arabidopsis, and it is thought to function as a 2'-O-ribose methylation guide for 18S ribosomal RNA. The record is from Rfam by way of RNAcentral. RNAcentral also lists the same sequence under 2 other names. Lineage: Eukaryota; Viridiplantae; Streptophyta; Magnoliopsida; Malvales; Malvaceae.